RNAcentral lists this ribosomal RNA (897 nucleotides) under Cordyceps sp. RNAcentral describes it as "partial large subunit ribosomal RNA". It matches the Rfam family "Eukaryotic large subunit ribosomal RNA", at positions 54 to 982 of the family's 3401-position model. The record is from RNAcentral. Lineage: Eukaryota; Fungi; Ascomycota; Sordariomycetes; Hypocreales; Cordycipitaceae.
AGGAGUAAGAACAACAGGGAUUGCCCCAGUAACGGCGAGUGAAGCGGCAACAGCUCAAAUUUGAAAUCUGGCCCCCGGGUCCGAGUUGUAAUUUGCAGAGGAUGCUUCGGGCGAGGUGCCUUCCGAGUUCCCUGGAACGGGACGCCAUAGAGGGUGAGAGCCCCGUCUGGUCGGACACCGAGCCCGUGUGAAGCUCCUUCGAAGAGUCGAGUAGUUUGGGAAUGCUGCUCAAAAUGGGAGGUAUAUGUCUUCUAAAGCUAAAUAUUGGCCAGAGACCGAUAGCGCACAAGUAGAGUGAUCGAAAGAUGAAAAGCACUUUGAAAAGAGGGUUAAAAAGUACGUGAAAUUGUUGAAAGGGAAGCGCCCAUGACCAGACUUGGGCCCGGUGAAUCACCCGGCGUUCUCGCCGGUGCACUUUGCCGGGCACAGGCCAGCAUCAGUUUGGCGCGGGGGAUAAAGGCUUCGGGAAUGUGGCUCCCUCGGGAGUGUUAUAGCCCGUUGCGCAAUACCCUGCGCCGGACUGAGGUACGCGCAUCGCAAGGAUGCUGGCGUAAUGGUCAUCAGCGACCCGUCUUGAAACACGGACCAAGGAGUCGUCUUCGUAUGCGAGUGUUCGGGUGUCAAACCCCUACGCGGAAUGAAAGUGAACGCAGGUGAGAGCUUCGGCGCAUCAUCGACCGAUCCUGAUGUUCUCGGAUGGAUUUGAGUAAGAGCAUACGGGGCCGGACCCGAAAGAAGGUGAACUAUGCCUGUAUAGGGUGAAGCCAGAGGAAACUCUGGUGGAAGCUCGCAGCGGUUCUGACGUGCGAAUCGAUCGUCAAAUAUGGGCAUGGGGGCGAAAGACUAAUCGAACCUUCUAGUAGCUGGUUUCCGCCGAGUUUUCCCUCUCAGGAAGUU